Molecule: long non-coding RNA, 900 nt
Filed under: Mytilus galloprovincialis (Mediterranean mussel)
Lineage: Eukaryota; Metazoa; Mollusca; Bivalvia; Mytilida; Mytilidae
Source: RNAcentral
UAUCAAGACAUUUCAGGGGCACCAACUCCUAUAAGAUGCCAUUUAAUUGUAUAAGACUAAAUGUAGCAUAUCUUCAUUACAAUAAAGCUGACAUUUUGCACUUGUUCUUUUAUAUGUAUCUCUCAAAGUGUCGGAGAAAAUGCAAAAACAAGCAAAAGUCACAAUUGAGAACUUGACCUUGACCUUUGACCUUGACCUCAUUUUCUAAGUUAGGACCUAGGGGACUCAAAUAAAAACAUUCCAGGGUUAUACGGUUAACUGUUUAUGAGUUAAAAUAACACUUACCGACAAAUUUAUUUUGUAAAGGUAGAUAACUCCUAUAAAAUUUCAUCGAAUCGCUUCGAUCCAAAUACGCCAAAAAUUACUGAGGAUGUAACGAACAAUUUGUAAAAAGAAUUUUGUCGCUAUCUUUUUUUGUUACGAAGGAGAUGCACACAGAGGAUAAACAGUGAAAUGGGAGAUAACUCUUACAUAGAAAAUGGUUCGCCUUAGCAGGGUGAAAUUUAAAAGCGCAUAAACUAUACGAUACCAUAUGAGAAAUAUCUAAGCGACAUAUUGCGAAACAAACAUUUUGCGCAAGAACAAAAUUUGGCGGAAGAAAAAAAAAAAAUAAUAAUCAGAAGAAAAACAAUAAGUCUUUCCACAGAAAAGUGGAAAGACUUAAUAAUCAGAACAAAAACAAUAAGUCUUUCCACAGAAAAGUGGAAAGACUUAAUAAUAAUAAUAAUAAUAAGAAAUACAAUAAGUCUUUCCACAGAAAAGGGAAAGACUAAUAAUAAUCAGAACAAAAACAAUAAGUCUUUCCACAGAAAAGUGGAAAGACUUAAUAAUAAUCAGAACAAAAACAAUAAGUCUUUCUACAGAAAAGUGGAAAGACUUAAUAAUAAUAAUAAUAAUAAU